This 301-nucleotide ribosomal RNA is filed under the name uncultured bacterium. Its description in RNAcentral is "bacterial SSU rRNA". It matches the Rfam family "Bacterial small subunit ribosomal RNA", at positions 30 to 327 of the family's 1533-position model. The record is from RNAcentral.
AUUGAACGUUGGCGGCAGGCCUAAUACAUGCAAGUCGAACGGCAGCACAGAGAGCUUGCUCUUGGGUGGCGAGUGGCGGACGGGUGAGUAACGCGUAGGAAUCUACCCAGUAGCGGGGGAUAGCCCGGGGAAACUCGGAUUAAUACCGCAUACGCCCCACGGGGGAAAGGCCGGGAUCUUCGGACCGGUCACUAUUGGAGGAGCCUGCGUUGGAUUAGCUUGUUGGUGGGGUAAAGCCUACCAAGGGCUACGAUCCAUAGCUGGUCUGAGAGGACGAUCAGCCACACUGGAACUGAGACAC